Molecule: long non-coding RNA, 951 nt
Filed under: Elaeis guineensis (African oil palm)
Lineage: Eukaryota; Viridiplantae; Streptophyta; Magnoliopsida; Arecales; Arecaceae
Description: long non-coding RNA (EGUI_LNC023470)
Source: RNAcentral
AUUAAUCCUUGGCAUGCAUCUUAUGCUGGAGCAAGAGGUUACCUGCAGCAUCUGAAUCAAUUCUUGUAUACUGCAUGGUGAUGAUGCUAUGUUUCACCAUCUGCAUUCUGCAGGCCAUCACAUCACUUUUGAACAAAAGUAUGCUUGUCUGUCUGCCCUGAUUUGCUUAAGGUGUCUCAGUAUGCAUCUACUUCUGAGCUGUUUUGUUGUGUCUUUGCCAAUCAGUUGGUAGGUGUCUGACUAAUCAUCUAAUGAAAAGCCUUUUUUUUGGUAACAAUCUAAUGAAAAGAUUUUAGCACAUUCUGACUCCACAGUAGACAGAACAGCUGUUCUUUUGGAGUUGCAAGGGAUGGUAGUGGGAACUGUUUUAGAUGCCUUCGUUCCAUUUUAUACAUUUUUGUGCUUUAUCUAUAAUUCAUGUUUGGUGAAUCCGACCCUGGUUGAUGCUGUUUUCUAUUAUUGUUUUUUAAAUUUCUUGUUGUUGUAAGCUUUGUGGGCUGGAACGGCCAUUAUCUGAUGAAUAUUUGGUGCACUCUGACAGUCCCAGGUUGUCUGAAGCAUUUUCAAUUUAUUCAAGUCCACCUUGUCAUGUGCAUUGUUGUGUGGACCAUCAUGAUUGUCGUUUUUGGAGCAUAACUAAUUAUCCUAUUAGGUCAAAAUUCUCUAUCGGUGUAACAUGAAAUCCCAGUGACUUGGUAUACUAGCAUAUGAUAUGUUCUCUCUCUGCGGGCGCACUUAUUGAACGGUUGUUACUUAAGAUACUUAGCAUCAUCUUAAACUAAAGUGUGUGGCUGCAUAUAUAUAUAUAUAUAUAUAUAUAUAUAACACUAUGAUGUGUCAUCUGCAGUAGGAUUUGGGUUGUGUUUUUGUAUGGAAGAAUGAUUGAUCUCAAUCAUUGGAUCAUAUUUUGCAUAACUUUAAAUGAUGAUAGAUUUGUUCCUUCUAUAGUAC